RNAcentral lists this unclassified non-coding RNA (885 nucleotides) under Cantharellus roseocanus. RNAcentral's name for it is "partial contains 18S rRNA, ITS1 and 5.8S rRNA". Lineage: Eukaryota; Fungi; Basidiomycota; Agaricomycetes; Cantharellales; Hydnaceae. The record is from RNAcentral.
CCGUAGGUGAACCUGCGGAAGGAUCAACCCCUGUGGGUAUAGUGAGAUGGUUGUUUUUCCAACCCAACCCGUGCGCACAUCCAUUGGACUGGAUGCACGGGUGUGUGUGGUCUUCUUGGUGGGGAGGCCUGGUUAGGGCCUGGCUUGGUGGGGUGACUAGGCUGGACGGUGUACUGACAAAGCCGUUUUUCCAGUUAUAGAGCCGUUCCAGUUGGGCCCAAGGGCAUGUCCAGUCCCAUUGGUGGUGGGCGCCCCUCCGUGGGCUCUGAGGCCUUGUCACCCUCAGUGUCCGUCGGAGUCUACAAAGGGGCACUUGUGCCCCGGCGUAACGUAAGAUGUAUGUGUAUACAUAUUCCGGUUGGCCUUGUGCCAACAACAUGCCAGUGAAGACGUGUCCUUUUUGUCCACUCCAAUAUUUUACCUACGGGACAAGGCCUAGCUGGUCCGCAGGCGGCGGGAUGACUUGGGUUGGAAGGAGGGGGGGUUCCAGAAGGAGAAGGAGACUGGGUUAGCAUAGGCGGCGUCGCCAGUGCGCGCUGCUGAGGAGCAACCGGCCAGUUGGUCCGCGCUACUUGGUCGAUCUCUCUGCUGGACUUGUUGGGUGUAAGGUAGGCAUCCACAGUUAUUUGGCGUGCAACCCCGAUGUGCGCACUCCACGCCCUCCUUCCGUUGUGCCCAAUCGUCUGAAGUUAUGGGCCUCGACGAAUUGAUGUAAGUCGAGGGGGUCAUAUCUGUUUUUUUGGCCCGGCAUGGACCUAGACCUACACGCGGUGCCCCUGUUCUUGACUGAUUAGGUCUAUAACAUCAAGCUGAGUUUUCCAAUGGGUUUAUAGAUAGCUCUCAACAAUGGAUCUCUAGGCUCUUGCAUCGAUGAAAGAACGCAGU